RNAcentral lists this transfer RNA (64 nucleotides) under Aculamprotula scripta. RNAcentral describes it as "tRNA-Met". Lineage: Eukaryota; Metazoa; Mollusca; Bivalvia; Unionida; Unionidae. The record is from RNAcentral. RNAcentral also lists the same sequence under 1 other name.
AGUAGGGUAAGCUAAAUCAAGCUGUUGGGCUCAUAACCCAAAAAUAGACACCCUCUUCCUACUA